Molecule: long non-coding RNA, 409 nt
Organism: Rhagoletis zephyria (snowberry fruit fly)
Lineage: Eukaryota; Metazoa; Arthropoda; Insecta; Diptera; Tephritidae
Source: RefSeq, a predicted model, not a curated record
UCGUCUGGACAGAGUUAUAUAGUGAAAACUACUGAAAAUGAUCGGUCUACGCGUGCUGUUGUGUAUAUCUCUGCUAGUCGUCCUUAUGAAUAUUUUGGCGGUUAAGGCGGCAUCAGAAAGAGUUUGCUAUCAACCUCCUGUAACUGGUGAGUGUCGUGCUGCCAUUCGGCGAUACUACUUUAAUCCCACUGUGGGGAGGUGCCUAGUAUUUAUUUACGGUGGCUGCGGUGGAAAUAGCAAUAACUUUGUAACUCUAAGGGCUUGUGUAGCUAGAUGCGGUGGAAAGUGAACAACAGCAUAAACACGGAUGUUUUUUUUAUAAACUUAAAUCUAAUUCCUUUUACAUACGGUGGCGGACAAACAAAUAGGAAUGCGAUAUUUUAAAUAAACUUGGGUAAUUUUUUAUUUG